Molecule: long non-coding RNA, 946 nt
Organism: Dermacentor albipictus
Lineage: Eukaryota; Metazoa; Arthropoda; Arachnida; Ixodida; Ixodidae
Source: RefSeq, a predicted model, not a curated record
CACCAUCACACCAAUAACAUCACUGGCACCUCUGACAUUUAUUUCUGUAAUUCAUUGCUUGUUUUCAUUUUUUUUUUCAUUUUUGCUUGUGCCUCUAAGUGCCUUUUUCUAACAUGGCGGCAGCGACCAGGCAUCAGCCACACCGGAGCGCGGCCAUCCACGGUGCUAUCAUCUCUCCUCCUCGGCCCAAUCGAGAUAGCUCGAGUUGCACGCUGGGAAGAUUUUAAGCGGGAGCGGGAGGCUCGGAGCCGGCGGGAGUGGUUAGCGCGCUGUCGUCCUGUCGUUGUUGUCGUUCUGAGACGGCCAUUAUAUUUGACUUGUUUGGAUACCACCCGAUCACCAUUGUGUGCUGCCACCACUUGAAGUCUGCAGUAGUUAUUACCGCUUCUACUGGGAACUUGCGCCAUCCUCUGCACCCUCAUGCCUUUGUGCAGCAGAGACCUUUUCGGUGUGUUGCGCGGUCGCUGCAACGAGCCGGGUUGUGAGUGCAAGCGAUACACCAUUCUGCGCCUGUCGGAAAGUGACAACCUGGUGAGGUGUGACUAUUGUGACCACGUCCCAAAUGCACACGGAAAAAUAUGUGAUCUCGAAACGAAAAAUGCAGCCGAGGCAAAGGUGCAAUGCAAUGUGCCAGGCACCGUUGUUCGAGGCCUCAGUGUCACAUGAAACUGUGGAAGCUUGCACAUCUAGUCUCCUCAGUGCAAUAUGAGAGGACUGUCCCAGUUGGUGCCUCCAUAGAAAAUGAAUCGGCCUGAAUGCCUGUGCAAGAAUCACAACCUGGCUGCUCUAAAGACUCCGCACCGUAGUCCCAUGUGCAAGAGCCCCCACUUGACAGCCCAGUGGUUGCCAUGGACAAAGAGAUCCGCGAUACUGAAUGCGGCCAAGCAGUACAAGUUUUUACAUGGACAGUUAACACGAAGUUAUUGACGACAUGCAUGGCUGAAAC